RNAcentral lists this ribosomal RNA (720 nucleotides) under Haloarcula sp. Its description in RNAcentral is "bacterial SSU rRNA". It matches the Rfam family "Archaeal small subunit ribosomal RNA", at positions 52 to 770 of the family's 1478-position model. Lineage: Archaea; Methanobacteriati; Methanobacteriota; Halobacteria; Halobacteriales; Haloarculaceae. The record is from RNAcentral.
UGCUAGUCGCACGGGUCUUAGAUCUCCGUGGCAUAUAGCUCAGUAACACGUGGCCAAACUACCCUACAGACCGCGAUAACCUCGGGAAACUGAGGCCAAUAGCGGAUAUCACUCUCACGCUGGAGUGCCGAGAGUGAGAAACGUUCCGGCGCUGUAGGAUGUGGCUGCGGCCGAUUAGGUAGAUGGUGGGGUAACGGCCCACCAUGCCGAUAAUCGGUACGGGUUGUGAGAGCAAGAACCCGGAGACGGUAUCUGAGACAAGAUACCGGGCCCUACGGGGCGCAGCAGGCGCGAAACCUUUACACUGCACGACAGUGCGAUAGGGGGACUCCGAGUGUGAGGGCAUAUAGCCCUCGCUUUUCUGUACCGUAAGGUGGUACAGGAACAAGGACUGGGCAAGACCGGUGCCAGCCGCCGCGGUAAUACCGGCAGUCCAAGUGAUGGCCGAUAUUAUUGGGCCUAAAGCGUCCGUAGCCGGCCGGACAAGUCCGUUGGGAAAUCGACGCGCUCAACGCGUCGGCGUCCAGCGGAAACUGUCCGGCUUGGGGCCGGAAGACCUGAGGGGUACGUCCGGGGUAGGAGUGAAAUCCUGUAAUCCUGGACGGACCACCAAUGGGGAAACCACCUCAGGAAGACGGACCCGACGGUGAGGGACGAAAGCUAGGGUCUCGAACCGGAUUAGAUACCCGGGUAGUCCUAGCUGUAAACGAUGCUCGCUAG